This 631-nucleotide long non-coding RNA is filed under the name Durio zibethinus. Its description in RNAcentral is "long non-coding RNA (DZIB_LNC002313)". The record is from RNAcentral. Lineage: Eukaryota; Viridiplantae; Streptophyta; Magnoliopsida; Malvales; Malvaceae.
UGGUAAUUAUAUUGAAGCGCAGAAUUGGUUAAAGAUCACGAGGCGUUUCGAAUAAGAACAAGAGCUCUCUGUUUAUUUAUUAUUUUCGGAUUAGAAAUUCUAAUUAGAAAUUAGAAAAUUCUAUUACUAUUAAAUUCUAUUCUUAUUCUAUUAAAUCCAUUUAAUUAAAUUACCUUACCAUUAAAAUUAUUAAAUUAGAUUUUUUAUUCAUAUUCAAUUUGAAUCUUUAAAUAUUAAAAAAUAUUAAUUUAAUUGGAAUUGUUAAUUGUGUAAUUGUUUGUUUUUGUUGGACCCAUCGGUCAGAUCAUUUCUCUCUCUCUGGGAAAAACCAAUCAAAGAAUUUCAUUAUAUCCUUUCUAAAAUCGUUCUAUUUCGUCUGAUAUUUCGUAAGGAUAAGUAAUACACGGAUAUAGCAAAAUAAAAAAUAUAUAUUUUCUUUUCUGCUUCUAUUAAAACGAAUAAAAACCCCUCGAAUGACUCAAUAUCAAUACUAAAGUAUCCCUUAGUAAUAAAUGCUCACAUGAGUUCGGAUAGAGUAAUAUUCCUUGUUCUAUCUAUGUAAGACAAAAAAAAAAAAAACUCCAUCUAGGAACUUCUAAUUAAGAUAGGAAUACAAUACACAGGUUGCACU